CAUCUGGUCCACGAAGUCGUCACCAAGCUUUGCACUCUGGGAUUUGUGGUUUGUAGCAGAUCCAGUAGGACAUGAAGACCAAGAAAUGCACCAACAAAUCCCAUAAUGCAUGCGGCACCUCUGCAGCUAGCGCUCACACGAAAUGCAGCCGCGCGCCUGUUGCUCAGUCUUUAGCUGGAUCGCCGCUGAACGUGAACUACCUCGUGUGUCUACCGGGCAGAUGGAUGUGUCUACCGUGCAGAGAGAUGUGUCUACCGUGCAGAGAGAUGUGCAGCCUUCGUGGUGCUCAAGCCGUCCUGAUGGCUCAGUCGUUGUGGACUUUUAACUCAGUGUCUUGAAAUGGCUCAGUCGUUGUGGACCUGUAACUCAGUGUCUUGAACCGAUCACUCCGAUCACCUCUCCGUGGCCUGACGUGCGCAUCCCAUCCGUCGAAAUGAAGGAGGGCCCACGGAGACCGAAGGGCUGUGAUUGGUCCAACCCACGGGGACCGAAGGGCUGUGAUUGGUCCAACCCACGGGGACCGAAGGGCUGUGAUUGGUCCAACCCACGGGGACCGAAGGGCUGUGAUUGGUCCAACCCACGGAGACCGAAGGGCUGUGAUUGGUCCAACCCACGGAGACCGAAGGGCUGUGAUUGGUCCAACCCAUGCUGUUUACCUUAUGGUUCAGUCGUUGUGGACCUUUACCAGUGUCUUGAAAAAACCAUAUUGUUGCAUGGAGCAAAGCUGAUUGGCCAGUUGGAACAGGAAGUUGGGAAACACUAGUUUAAAUAUGUCUCUCUGUUUGUAAUGUGUAAUACAUUUGUAAUUAAAUGCCCACACACACACACACACACUAGUUUAAAUCUGUCUCUCUGUUUGUAAUGUGUAAUACAUUCUGUAAUUAAAUGCCCACACACACACACACUAGUUUAAAUCUGUCU
Molecule: long non-coding RNA, 921 nt
Organism: Clupea harengus (Atlantic herring)
Lineage: Eukaryota; Metazoa; Chordata; Actinopteri; Clupeiformes; Clupeidae
Source: Ensembl